UCUAUGCACAAGCCGAUUAAUGGUGAAGCCGCGAAUGGCUCAUUACAACAGCCACUGUUUACUUGAUCUUGACUAUCCUACUUGGAUAACUGUGGUAAUUCUAGAGCUAAUACACGCAAUAAAGCUCCGACCUUACGGGACGAGCGCAUUUAUUAGACCAAAACCAAUCGGGCUUCGGCCUGAGCCGUUGGUGACUCUGAAUAACUGAGCUGAUCGCAUGGUCUUUGUACCGGCGACGCAUCUUUCAAGUGUCUGCCUUAUCAACUUUCGAUGGUAGUUUAUGUGCCUACCAUGGUUGUUACGGGUAACGGAGAAUAAGGGUUCGACUCCGGAGAGGGAGCCUGAGAAACGGCUACCACAUCCAAGGAAGCCACCAGGCGCGCAAAUUACCCACUUUCGGCACGAGGAGGUAUUGACGAAAAAUAACGAGCCGGUUCUCUAUGAGGCCCGCUAUCGGAAUGGGUACAAUUUAAA
Molecule: ribosomal RNA, 474 nt
Filed under: unidentified nematode Sourhope farm
Lineage: Eukaryota; Metazoa; Nematoda
Description: SSU rRNA
Rfam family: Eukaryotic small subunit ribosomal RNA
Source: RNAcentral